AGCAGCCGCGGUAAUUCCAGCUCCAAUAGCGUAUAUUAAAGUUGUUGCAGUUAAAAAGCUCGUAGUUGAAUUUCGGGAUUAGUACGUCGGUCGUGCCUUCGGUACGUACUGGUGUUCUGAUUCCUACCUUCUGACGAACCAUCAUGUCAUUAAUUUGGUGUGGCGGGGAAUCAGGACUGUUACUUUGAAAAAAUUAGAGUGUUUAAAGCAGGCUCGCGCUUGAAUACAUUAGCAUGGAAUAAUGAAAUAGGACGUUGACCCUAUUUUGUUGGUUUCUAGGAUUGACGUAAUGAUUAAUAGGGAUAGUUGGGGGCAUUAGUAUUCAAUUGUCAGAGGUGAAAUUCUUGGAUUUAUUGAAGACUAACUACUGCGAAAGCAUUUGCCAAGGAUGUUUUCAUUAAUCAAGAACGAAAGUUAGGGGAUCGAAGACGAUCAGAUACCGUCGUAGUCUUAACCAUAAACUAUGCCGACUAGGGAUCGGAUGAUGUUAUUUUUAAUGACUCA
Molecule: ribosomal RNA, 504 nt
Filed under: uncultured fungus
Lineage: Eukaryota; Fungi
Description: SSU rRNA
Rfam family: Eukaryotic small subunit ribosomal RNA
Source: RNAcentral